CCGGCUCUGGCAGAGCCCCAGGGCAGAACAGGGAGAUGGCUGGAAAGGCCAUGACCCUGUGGGAUUCCUGUGCUGGAGCAGGCUCCUGGCAGGCACCUGCAGAGCCAUGGAAGGAGGAGGCCAUGCUGGAGCAGGAUGUCCUGUCCCAGUCAUGUUCCGAAUGCCAUGGGAAAGGAUAGUGCUUGCAAGAUUUACUGUUGAUACCAAGUUGCUGAAACAUGCCAGUGGAAACAGAGUGCUGUGCUGACUCAAAACACCUUUUCUCUUGACCUGCAUAUCUGCCACCUUCGACUUGGUCAUUAUGGUCAAGAUUUUUCUACUUGUAAUAAAAAUUGUGUGACUGA
Long non-coding RNA from Passer domesticus (house sparrow), 344 nucleotides. RefSeq lists it as uncharacterized. The transcript is spliced from 3 exons. The record is from RefSeq and is a predicted model, not a curated record. NCBI's taxonomy places the organism in Eukaryota, Metazoa, Chordata, Aves, Passeriformes, Passeridae.